UACAGAGGGUGCAAGCGUUGUUCGGAAUUAUUGGGCGUAAAGCGCGUGUAGGCGGUCUUGCAAGUCGGGUGUGAAAGCCCUCAGCUCAACUGAGGAAGUGCGCCCGAAACUGCAGGGCUAGAGUACUGGAGAGGUUGGUGGAAUUCUCGGUGUAGAGGUGAAAUUCGUAGAUAUCGAGAGGAACACCGGUGGCGAAGGCGGCCAACUGGACAGAUACUGACGCUGAGACUCGAAAGCGUGGGGAGCAAACAGG
RNAcentral lists this ribosomal RNA (253 nucleotides) under uncultured bacterium. RNAcentral describes it as "partial 16S ribosomal RNA". It matches the Rfam family "Bacterial small subunit ribosomal RNA", at positions 524 to 776 of the family's 1533-position model. The record is from RNAcentral.